AAUAGAUACCCGGGUAGUCCAUGCCGUAAACGAUGUCUACUAGCCGUUGGGGCCUUUGAGGCUUUAGUGGCGCAGCUAACGCGAUAAGUAGACCGCCUGGGGAGUACGGUCGCAAGACUAAAACUCAAAUGAAUUGACGGGGGCCCGCACAAGCGGUGGAGCAUGUGGUUUAAUUCGAUGCAACGCGAAGAACCUUACCUGGUCUUGACAUACAGAGAACUUUCCAGAGAUGGAUUGGUGCCUUCGGGAACUCUGAUACAGGUGCUGCAUGGCUGUCGUCAGCUCGUGUCGUGGGAUGUUGGGUUAAGUCCCGCAACGAGCGCAACCCUUUUCCUUACUUGCCAUCGGGUCAUGCCGGGAACUUUAAGGAUACUGCCAGUGACAAACUGGAGGAAGGCGGGGGCGACGUCAAGUCAUCAUGGCCCUUACGACCAGGGCUACACACGUGCUACAAUGGUCGGUACAAAGGGUUGCUACCUAGCGAUAGGAUGCUAAUCUCAAAAAGCCGAUCGUAGUCCGGAUUGGAGU
Molecule: ribosomal RNA, 528 nt
Filed under: uncultured bacterium
Lineage: Bacteria
Description: bacterial SSU rRNA
Rfam family: Bacterial small subunit ribosomal RNA
Source: RNAcentral